GGAGGAGCAUGUGGUUUAAUUCGAUGAUACGCGAGGAACCUUACCUGGGCUCGAACGUAAGAUGACUGUAGGUGAAAGCUUACAUCUCUUCGGAGCAUUUUACGAGGUGCUGCAUGGUUGUCGUCAGCUCGUGCCGUGAGGUGUCGGGUUAAGUCCCAUAACGAGCGCAACCCCUACCUUUAGUUGCCAUCAGGUAAUGCUGGGGACUCUAAAGGAACUGCCUACGCAAGUAGUGAGGAAGGCGGGGAUGACGUCAAAUCAGCACGGCCCUUACGUCCAGGGCUACACACGUGCUACAAUGGCCGAUACAGAGGGCAGCUACCUGGUGACAGGAUGCAAAUCUCCAAAGUCGGUCUCAGUUCGGAUCGGAGUCUGCAACCCGACUCCGUGAAGUUGGAUUCGCUAGUAAUCGCGCAUCAGCCAUGGCGCGGUGAAUACGUUCCCGGGCCUU
Molecule: ribosomal RNA, 451 nt
Filed under: uncultured Sphingobacteriales bacterium
Lineage: Bacteria; Pseudomonadati; Bacteroidota; Sphingobacteriia; Sphingobacteriales
Description: bacterial SSU rRNA
Rfam family: Bacterial small subunit ribosomal RNA
Source: RNAcentral